UACGUAGGGGGCAAGCGUUGUCCGGAAUCAUUGGGCGUAAAGAGCGUGUAGGCGGCUCGAUAAGUCUGCUGUGAAAGUCCAGGGCUCAACCCUGGAAGGCCGGUGGAAACUGUCGGGCUAGAGUCCGGAAGAGGCGAGUGGAAUUCCCGGUGUAGCGGUGAAAUGCGCAGAUAUCGGGAGGAACACCAAUAGCGAAGGCAGCUCGCUGGGACGGUACUGACGCUAAGGCGCGAAAGCGUGGGGAGCGAACAGG
RNAcentral lists this ribosomal RNA (253 nucleotides) under uncultured bacterium. RNAcentral describes it as "partial 16S ribosomal RNA". It matches the Rfam family "Bacterial small subunit ribosomal RNA", at positions 524 to 776 of the family's 1533-position model. The record is from RNAcentral.